This is a non-coding RNA of Schistosoma haematobium, 45 nucleotides long. The record is from Rfam. NCBI's taxonomy places the organism in Eukaryota, Metazoa, Platyhelminthes, Trematoda, Strigeidida, Schistosomatidae.
AUCCAGCUAACGAGUUCCAAAUAGGAUGAAACGCGCAUCCUGGAU